CAGCAGCCGCGGGAAUACGGAGGGUGCAAGCGUUAAUCGGAAUUACUGGGCGUAAAGCGCACGCAGGCGGUUUGUUAAGUCGGAUGUGAAAUCCCCGAGCUUAACUUGGGAACUGCAUUUGAAACUGGCAAGCUAGAGUGUGUCAGAGGAUGGUGGAAUUCCCGGUGUAGCGGUGAAAUGCGUAGAGAUCGGGAGGAACAUCAGUGGCGAAGGCGGCCAUCUGGGACAACACUGACGCUGAGGCACGAAAGCGUGGGGAGCAAACAGGAUUAGAUUCCCGCGUAGUCCCUGUCUCUUAUAC
Molecule: ribosomal RNA, 301 nt
Filed under: uncultured bacterium
Lineage: Bacteria
Description: partial 16S ribosomal RNA
Rfam family: Bacterial small subunit ribosomal RNA
Source: RNAcentral